UCAAUAGUCUUUUAAUUGAAGGCCAGAAUGAAUGGUUGAACGAGAGAGAAACUGUCUCUUAUUAAAUAAAUUGAAAUUUACUUUUAAGUGAAAAGGCUUAAAUACAUUUAAGGGACGAUAAGACCCUAUAAAUCUUUAUAUUAAUUAAUUAUAUAUUUUAUAAAUAUUUUAUAUAAAUAAAAUAAAUAAUAAACAAUAUUUUAUUGGGGAGAUAUAAAUAUAAUAAAUAACUAUUCUACUUUUAUUACAAUAAUAAUUGAUUAUCCAUCAAAAAGAUCCUUUAUAUAAGACUUUAAGAUUAAGUUACUUUAGGGAUAACAGCGUUAUCUUUUUUGAGAGUCCUCAUCAAAAAAAAAAUUGCGACCUCGAUGUUGAAUUAAAAUAUCUUUAUGGUGCAGAAGCUAUAUAAGAAAGUCUGUUCGACUUUUAAAAUUUUACGUGAUC
This 444-nucleotide ribosomal RNA is filed under the name Uroptychus cyrano. Its description in RNAcentral is "partial 16S ribosomal RNA". The stretch from base 314 to 444 matches the Rfam family "Bacterial large subunit ribosomal RNA", at positions 2473 to 2605 of the family's 2925-position model. Lineage: Eukaryota; Metazoa; Arthropoda; Malacostraca; Decapoda; Chirostylidae. The record is from RNAcentral.